UAGGGAAUCUUCCGCAAUGGGCGAAAGCCUGACGGAGCAACGCCGCGUGAGUGAUGAAGGUCUUCGGAUCGUAAAACUCUGUUAUUAGGGAAGAACAAAUGUGUAAGUAACUAUGCACGUCUUGACGGUACCUAAUCAGAAAGCCACGGCUAACUACGUGCCAGCAGCCGCGGUAAUACGUAGGUGGCAAGCGUUAUCCGGAAUUAUUGGGCGUAAAGCGCGCGUAGGCGGUUUUUUAAGUCUGAUGUGAAAGCCCACGGCUCAACCGUGGAGGGUCAUUGGAAACUGGAAAACUUGGGUGGAGAAGAGGAAAGUGGAAUUCCAUGUGUAGCGGUGAAAUGCGCAGAGAUAUGGAGGAACACCAGUGGCGAAGGCGACUUUCUGGUCUGUAACUGACGCUGAUGUGCGAAAGCGUGGGGAUCAAACAGG
Molecule: ribosomal RNA, 429 nt
Filed under: Actinomycetes bacterium
Lineage: Bacteria; Bacillati; Actinomycetota; Actinomycetes
Description: Actinobacteria bacterium partial 16S ribosomal RNA
Rfam family: Bacterial small subunit ribosomal RNA
Source: RNAcentral